GAUGAACGCUGGCGGCGUGCCUAAUACAUGCAAGUCGAGCGAACAGACGAGGAGCUUGCUCCUCUGACGUUAGCGGCGGACGGGUGAGUAACACGUGGAUAACCUACCUAUAAGACUGGGAUAACUUCGGGAAACCGGAGCUAAUACCGGAUAAUAUAUUGAACCGCAUGGCUCAAUAGUGAAAGACGGUUUUGCUGUCACUUAUAGAUGGAUCCGCGCCGCAUUAGCUAGUUGGUAAGGUAACGGCUUACCAAGGCAACGAUGCGUAGCCGACCUGAGAGGGUGAUCGGCCACACUGGAACUGAGACACGGUCCAGACUCCUACGGGAGGCAGCAGUAGGGAAUCUUCCGCAAUGGGCGAAAGCCUGACGGAGCAACACCGCGUGAGUGAUGAAGGUCUUCGGAUCGUAAAACUCUGUUAUUAGGGAAGAACAAAUGUGUAAGUAACUAUGCACGUCUUGACGGUACCUAAUCAGAAAGCCACGGCUAACUACGUG
RNAcentral lists this ribosomal RNA (497 nucleotides) under uncultured bacterium. RNAcentral's name for it is "partial 16S ribosomal RNA". It matches the Rfam family "Bacterial small subunit ribosomal RNA", at positions 28 to 507 of the family's 1533-position model. The record is from RNAcentral.